Molecule: ribosomal RNA, 1286 nt
Filed under: Escherichia coli
Lineage: Bacteria; Pseudomonadati; Pseudomonadota; Gammaproteobacteria; Enterobacterales; Enterobacteriaceae
Description: partial 23S ribosomal RNA
Rfam family: Bacterial large subunit ribosomal RNA
Source: RNAcentral
CUGCGUACCUUUUGUAUAAUGGGUCAGCGACUUAUAUUCUGUAGCAAGGUUAACCGAAUAGGGGAGCCGAAGGGAAACCGAGUCUUAACUGGGCGUUAAGUUGCAGGGUAUAGACCCGAAACCCGGUGAUCUAGCCAUGGGCAGGUUGAAGGUUGGGUAACACUAACUGGAGGACCGAACCGACUAAUGUUGAAAAAUUAGCGGAUGACUUGUGGCUGGGGGUGAAAGGCCAAUCAAACCGGGAGAUAGCUGGUUCUCCCCGAAAGCUAUUUAGGUAGCGCCUCGUGAAUUCAUCUCCGGGGGUAGAGCACUGUUUCGGCAAGGGGGUCAUCCCGACUUACCAACCCGAUGCAAACUGCGAAUACCGGAGAAUGUUAUCACGGGAGACACACGGCGGGUGCUAACGUCCGUCGUGAAGAGGGAAACAACCCAGACCGCCAGCUAAGGUCCCAAAGUCAUGGUUAAGUGGGAAACGAUGUGGGAAGGCCCAGACAGCCAGGAUGUUGGCUUAGAAGCAGCCAUCAUUUAAAGAAAGCGUAAUAGCUCACUGGUCGAGUCGGCCUGCGCGGAAGAUGUAACGGGGCUAAACCAUGCACCGAAGCUGCGGCAGCGACACUGUGUGUUGUUGGGUAGGGGAGCGUUCUGUAAGCCUGCGAAGGUGUGCUGUGAGGCAUGCUGGAGGUAUCAGAAGUGCGAAUGCUGACAUAAGUAACGAUAAAGCGGGUGAAAAGCCCGCUCGCCGGAAGACCAAGGGUUCCUGUCCAACGUUAAUCGGGGCAGGGUGAGUCGACCCCUAAGGCGAGGCCGAAAGGCGUAGUCGAUGGGAAACAGGUUAAUAUUCCUGUACUUGGUGUUACUGCGAAGGGGGGACGGAGAAGGCUAUGUUGGCCGGGCGACGGUUGUCCCGGUUUAAGCGUGUAGGCUGGUUUUCCAGGCAAAUCCGGAAAAUCAAGGCUGAGGCGUGAUGACGAGGCACUACGGUGCUGAAGCAACAAAUGCCCUGCUUCCAGGAAAAGCCUCUAAGCAUCAGGUAACAUCAAAUCGUACCCCAAACCGACACAGGUGGUCAGGUAGAGAAUACCAAGGCGCUUGAGAGAACUCGGGUGAAGGAACUAGGCAAAAUGGUGCCGUAACUUCGGGAGAAGGCACGCUGAUAUGUAGGUGAAGUCCCUCGCGGAUGGAGCUGAAAUCAGUCGAAGAUACCAGCUGGCUGCAACUGUUUAUUAAAAACACAGCACUGUGCAAACACGAAAGUGGACGUAUACGGUGUGACGCCUGCCCGGUGC